UACGGAGGGUGCAAGCGUUAAUCGGAAUUACUGGGCGUAAAGCGCACGCAGGUGGCUGAGUCAGUCGAUUGUGAAAGCCCUGGGCUUAACCUGGGAAUUGCAGUCGAUACUACUCAGCCAGAGUAUGGGAGAGGGCAGUGGAAUUCCCAGUGUAGCGGUGAAAUGCGUAGAUAUCGGGAGGAACAUCAGUGGCGAAGGCGGCUGCCUGGCCCAAUACUGACACUCAGGUGCGACAGCGUGGGGAGCAAACAGG
Molecule: ribosomal RNA, 253 nt
Filed under: uncultured bacterium
Lineage: Bacteria
Description: partial 16S ribosomal RNA
Rfam family: Bacterial small subunit ribosomal RNA
Source: RNAcentral